AAAAAAAUGUUGGAGUCUCUCCUGCUGAGGACACGUCAGAAAGUCCUUCUCUACAGAGACAACACGUGUCCUUUUUACCAAAGUGAUGCGUUUCAUUGCGUACUCUUCAUGAACCAGGUAAUGUUUCUAGGGUUUCGUCUCUUAUUCCGUCUUCAACACCAAAACAUUUCUUCUGUGUUCUGAAACGAAAACGAUGGACUGGCGAGGCGGAGAGAAAAAUAUAGAACGGCUGAGAGAUCAGAUCCGUUGUUGAAGCUCGAUUAUGAUGUGUUUUAUCUCCGGAGAUAGCUCGAUGGGUUCGGUCACAUGCUCUGUUCUGUAAUUUGUUUCUUCGCUGAGGUUGAAUCAAAGAACAGAGGUCGGAGAACAGAGGCUCUGUAGUGGAUUUGUUUACCAUCAUCUUCCUUUCAACAACUUUUCGAUUUGUUUAUCUUUGCCAAUGGGGUUGGGAAUCAUAAUAUGAUGACUGGUUUGAUAACUCUUCUACUUAUUCUCUUUUAUGCUUCAGUUGCGGGAUUCAGUGAGAAAAUAAUAAUUUUGGUUUUGAUUCAUCAAUCGAAGAUUCAUAUUUUGAUUUUUGUGUUUUUUGCUUUUUUUUCUUAGUAUUAGGAUUAUUGUGACUUAACAACAAUGUGAUAAUGGGAGCAUCUGUAGGAAGAGCAAUAGAGCAUUGUAAAUUUGUAACAAAGAACAUCACGUCGUGCUAUGUUUUUUUUCUGAAACUUUUUUUAAAAAUGUUGGUCAAAUGGUGCAUAAAUAAACCAAGUGAGCUUACUGCUACGUGGGGAGUCCAGUUUCACAUCAAUGGGUUAAAAUCCCUCCACCUCCCUCUGAUCCUAAAGGUGAUUCUACCAUAUUUGGUUUAAUGACUCGCUUGGAUGAGGACUGUGUCGUUUUGAGCUUUAAAGUGAUUAGGAUAGCUUCUUACCAAGCGACAAAGUGAUUAGGAUAGCUUCUUCGAGUUGAUUCACACGCCCGUGAUAGCUAUCUAAAGCAAGUAUGAUCCAUGCAGUUUAACAGGGAUAGAGUUCUGCUUUUACGGAGAUUAGAUCCAAGAUUGUCUAAAGACUUACCCUCUGAUCUCCAGAAGCUCCGAUGUGAGGCAGCGUUUGAAGCACUGAAGUUCUCGCUAAGGGUUAUGGAGAUAUGGAAGAAGCUUGCAGAAAGGUUAAGGAGCAAAUGUCCUUACAUUACCUCUCAUCUUUGACUUGAGAAAGACGUGUGGGAGAACAAGCUGCCUUACUGGUUUGAGCUCAAAGUAUGAUGAGAUUGCAAGACUAGAAGGGAUUAAGCGGCCUGAGCUCUUAACAGCCAAAUCUAGCAUGACACCUAAUGAGAGGAAACUUGCAGGUCUCUGUCCGUUAAAUGCCAAGGAAGUAACAAGCUUCGAUAAUGGCAGCAAUCGACUAUAUAGUAUGCAAUGAGAGUGAUGUGUUCAUGGCAUCUCAUGGAGGAAACAUGGGCUGCCCAAUUCAGGGUCACAGAGCUUAUGAAGGACAUAAGAAUCUUAUAACACCAAACAAAAGGCAAAUGCUCCCAUACUUUUUGAACAAAACAAUGACUGAGACAGAGUCUGAGAAGAUGAUGAAGAAAUUUCACAGACAAUCUCUAGGACAGCGAGAAAUAAGGGUUAGCAAAGCUGUAAGAGAUGUUACAAAGUAUCCUGUUCCUGAGUGUAUGUGCAUUAAUAAUCAAACCACUCGCACUAUUUAAACCCUUUUUUUGUUGUUGCACAUACGAUUAUUAUCUUAAAUAAAAGGGUAAUAACAUGCUCUACUACAAUUUCUAUGCUU
Molecule: long non-coding RNA, 1793 nt
Organism: Brassica rapa (field mustard)
Lineage: Eukaryota; Viridiplantae; Streptophyta; Magnoliopsida; Brassicales; Brassicaceae
Source: RefSeq, a predicted model, not a curated record